GCCAGACUCCUACGGGAGGCAGCAGUGGGGGAUAUUGCACAAUGGGGGGAACCCUGAUGCAGCGACGCCGCGUGGGUGAAGGAGCGUUUCGGCGCGUAAAGCCCUAUCGGCAGGGAAGAAGGAGGACGGUACCUGACUAAGAAGCCCCGGCUGACUACGUGCCAGCAGCCGCGGUAAUACGUAGGGGGCAAGCGUUAUCCGGAUUUACUGGGUGUAAAGGGGGCGCAGACGGCAGCGCAAGCCAGGAGUGAAAGCCCGGGGCCCAACCCCGGGACUGCUCUUGGAACUGCGCGGCUGGAGUGCAGGAGGGGCAGGCGGAAUUCCUGGUGUAGCGGUGAAAUGCGUAGAUAUCAGGAGGAACACCGGUGGCGAAGGCGGCCUGCUGGACUGCGACUGACGUUGAGGCCCGAAAGCGUGGGGAGCAAACAGGAUUAGAUACCCUAGUAGA
RNAcentral lists this ribosomal RNA (448 nucleotides) under uncultured bacterium. RNAcentral's name for it is "bacterial SSU rRNA". It matches the Rfam family "Bacterial small subunit ribosomal RNA", at positions 330 to 794 of the family's 1533-position model. The record is from RNAcentral.